CAGCAGCCAGGUAAUACGUAGGGUGCAAGCGUUAAUCGGAAUUACUGGGCGUAAAGCGUGCGCAGGCGGUUAUAUAAGACAGAUGUGAAAUCCCCGGGCUCAACCUGGGAACUGCAUUUGUGACUGUAUAGCUAGAGUACGGCAGAGGGGGAUGGAAUUCCGCGUGUAGCAGUGAAAUGCGUAGAUAUGCGGAGGAACACCGAUGGCGAAGGCAAUCCCCUGGGCCUGUACUGACGCUCAUGCACGAAAGCGUGGGGAGCAAACAGGAUUAGAUACCCCGGUAGUCCCUGUCUCUUAUACC
RNAcentral lists this ribosomal RNA (301 nucleotides) under uncultured bacterium. RNAcentral describes it as "partial 16S ribosomal RNA". It matches the Rfam family "Bacterial small subunit ribosomal RNA", at positions 512 to 808 of the family's 1533-position model. The record is from RNAcentral.